Molecule: ribosomal RNA, 914 nt
Filed under: Vibrio sp. FAL5101
Lineage: Bacteria; Pseudomonadati; Pseudomonadota; Gammaproteobacteria; Vibrionales; Vibrionaceae
Description: bacterial SSU rRNA
Rfam family: Bacterial small subunit ribosomal RNA
Source: RNAcentral
UGCAAGUCGAGCGGAAACGACAACAUACCCUUCGGGUGAUUUAUUGGGCGUCGAGCGGCGGACGGGUGAGUAAUGCCUGGGAAAUUGCCCUGAUGUGGGGGAUAACCAUUGGAAACGAUGGCUAAUACCGCAUAACGUCUACGGACCAAAGAGGGGGACCUUCGGGCCUCUCGCUUCAGGAUAUGCCCAGGUGGGAUUAGCUAGUUGGUGAGGUAAUGGCUCACCAAGGCGACGAUCCCUAGCUGGUCUGAGAGGAUGAUCAGCCACACUGGAACUGAGACACGGUCCAGACUCCUACGGGAGGCAGCAGUGGGGAAUAUUGCACAAUGGGCGCAAGCCUGAUGCAGCCAUGCCGCGUGUAUGAAGAAGGCCUUCGGGUUGUAAAGUACUUUCAGUCGUGAGGAAGGCGUUGAAGUUAAUAGCUUCAUCGUUUGACGUUAGCGACAGAAGAAGCACCGGCUAACUCCGUGCCAGCAGCCGCGGUAAUACGGAGGGUGCGAGCGUUAAUCGGAAUUACUGGGCGUAAAGCGCAUGCAGGUGGUUUGUUAAGUCAGAUGUGAAAGCCCGGGGCUCAACCUCGGAACCGCAUUUGAAACUGGCAGGCUAGAGUACUGUAGAGGGGGGUAGAAUUUCAGGUGUAGCGGUGAAAUGCGUAGAGAUCUGAAGGAAUACCAGUGGCGAAGGCGGCCCCCUGGACAGAUACUGACACUCAGAUGCGAAAGCGUGGGGAGCAAACAGGAUUAGAUACCCUGGUAGUCCACGCCGUAAACGAUGUCUACUUGGAGGUUGUGGCCUUGAGCCGUGGCUUUCGGAGCUAACGCGUUAAGUAGACCGCCUGGGGAGUACGGUCGCAAGAUUAAAACUCAAAUGAAUUGACGGGGGCCCGCACAAGCGGUGGAGCAUGUGGUUUAAUU